Molecule: ribosomal RNA, 208 nt
Filed under: uncultured Bacteroidales bacterium
Lineage: Bacteria; Pseudomonadati; Bacteroidota; Bacteroidia; Bacteroidales
Description: partial 16S ribosomal RNA
Rfam family: Bacterial small subunit ribosomal RNA
Source: RNAcentral
ACGGCCCACCAAGGCAACGAUCGGUAGGGGUACUGAGAGGAAGGUCCCCCACAUUGGAACUGAGACACGGUCCAAACUCCUACGGGAGGCAGCAGUGAGGAAUAUUGGUCAAUGGACGAGAGUCUGAACCAGCCAAGUAGCGUGAAGGAUGACGGCCCUAUGGGUUGUAAACUUCUUUUGUACGGGAAUAAAGUGACCCACGUGUGGG